This 375-nucleotide ribosomal RNA is filed under the name uncultured Glomeromycotina. Its description in RNAcentral is "eukaryotic LSU rRNA". The record is from RNAcentral. Lineage: Eukaryota; Fungi; Glomeromycota.
UGAAAGGGAAACGAUUGAAGUCAGUCGUACCGACGGGAAUUCAACUUCUCGAGUGCUAAUCGUGGGUGACGUUGAGCCUCACGGCCRUUCGUUGCUUGUGUUGUUGGUGCUUUUGGGGUGUACUUUUCCGUAUUGGUAGGUCAGCAUCGAUUUCGAUCGUCAUAAAAUGAUCGGGGGAAUGUAGCUUCGGUCUCGUAUCGGAGUGUUAUAGACCUUGGUAGAUGUGACGAUUGGGAUCGAGGAUUGCAACGAAUACCUCUGGGCUAUCCGUCUGACCUCUGAAAGUCGCUCGGGUGUCGAAAGCGUGCUUAUGGCUAUUCGAGUUGGCGGUCAAUAGGUUAGAACGUGAUUAUAUUCGUUAAGGAUGUUGACGUA